AUGUCAAUUGAAUAUUGCAUAUAUGGACAAGACCUUAACUCGAGAGGGACAAGCAAUGAACAAGAUAGAUGGCACUACACUUGGAACUGCAAUCACUAUUCAUCCAUGUGGAUGUACAAAGCCCUUGAAGAGACAGAGAUCCAUCAUAACAUUUUUAAGCUCAUAUGGGACACCUCUUGUAGACUCGGGCAUAAGAUAUUCUUCUGGAUGCUAUACCAGGAUAGAUUAAACACAAGGAACUUGUUGCACCGUAAGAGUAUGUACCUGCCAGAUUCUAAUUGUGUACUCUAUUCUCAUAAUACUCAAGAAACUUCCAUGCACCUGCUCUGGGAUUGUCCAUUUGCCAUUACCUGCUAG
Molecule: ribosomal RNA, 357 nt
Filed under: Triticum aestivum (bread wheat)
Lineage: Eukaryota; Viridiplantae; Streptophyta; Magnoliopsida; Poales; Poaceae
Description: partial small subunit ribosomal RNA
Source: RNAcentral